CCUACGGGUGGCAGCAGUGGGGAAUAUUGCACAAUGGGCGAAAGCCUGAUGCAGCGACGCCGCGUGUGGGAUGAAGGUCUUCGGAUCGUAAACUACUGUCAGCAGGGAAGAAGGGUCACUGUGCUAAUCAGCAGUUAAUUGACGGUACCUGCAAAGGAAGCACCGGCUAACUCCGUGCCAGCAGCCGCGGUAAUACGGAGGGUGCGAGCGUUAAUCGGAAUUACUGGGCGUAAAGCGCGCGUAGGCGGUAUGUCAAGUCAAGGGUGAAAUCCCCGGGCUCAACGUGGGAACUGCAUUUGAAACUGGCAAACUGGAGUCUGGUAGAGGGUGGUGGAAUUCCAGGUGUAGCAGUGAAAUGCGUAGAGAUCUGGAGGAAUACCAGUGGCGAAGGCGACUAUCUGGCACAUAACUGACGCUGAGGAGCGAAAGCGUGGGGAGCAAACAGGAUUAGAUACCCCUGUAGUC
This 465-nucleotide ribosomal RNA is filed under the name uncultured bacterium. Its description in RNAcentral is "partial 16S ribosomal RNA". It matches the Rfam family "Bacterial small subunit ribosomal RNA", at positions 338 to 795 of the family's 1533-position model. The record is from RNAcentral.